AGAGAGGCAAAGAGUCCCUUGUUUUGCUUUUUUUUUUUUGGUCAUUAGAGAGUAAGGGACAUCCCUUAAUUAAGGGCUUUUCCCUUCUCUUUCUUCUUCGGUCCCCACCCCCUUUCUCUAAGGGAUACCUUAAGGGACUCCCAAUAAUGUUGCCCUUAGUUUUAGGGUUUUUAUUCUUCUGGUGUUUUUUCGAUUUAGAGUUGUUAAAUAUAUUUCUGAGUUUUUAUUAUUUAGAGUUCUUAUUGUUCUUGUUCCUUCGUGUUUGUAAUUUAUUUUCAUCUUCAGAUCUAGAUUCAGUAUAACUUGGUAUUACUCUCGGUACAACUAACUCAGUAAUACUUAGUAGAACCCAGUAGUACUUAG
This 363-nucleotide long non-coding RNA is filed under the name Brassica napus (rape). Its description in RNAcentral is "long non-coding RNA (BNAP_LNC003170)". Lineage: Eukaryota; Viridiplantae; Streptophyta; Magnoliopsida; Brassicales; Brassicaceae. The record is from RNAcentral.